RNAcentral lists this ribosomal RNA (390 nucleotides) under Streptomyces sp. SID1328. Its description in RNAcentral is "bacterial SSU rRNA". It matches the Rfam family "Bacterial small subunit ribosomal RNA", at positions 1151 to 1533 of the family's 1533-position model. The record is from RNAcentral. Lineage: Bacteria; Bacillati; Actinomycetota; Actinomycetes; Kitasatosporales; Streptomycetaceae.
GCCGGGGUCAACUCGGAGGAAGGUGGGGACGACGUCAAGUCAUCAUGCCCCUUAUGUCUUGGGCUGCACACGUGCUACAAUGGCAGGUACAAUGAGCUGCGAAACCGUGAGGUGGAGCGAAUCUCAAAAAGCCUGUCUCAGUUCGGAUUGGGGUCUGCAACUCGACCCCAUGAAGUCGGAGUUGCUAGUAAUCGCAGAUCAGCAUUGCUGCGGUGAAUACGUUCCCGGGCCUUGUACACACCGCCCGUCACGUCACGAAAGUCGGUAACACCCGAAGCCGGUGGCCCAACCCCUUGUGGGAGGGAGCUGUCGAAGGUGGGACUGGCGAUUGGGACGAAGUCGUAACAAGGUAGCCGUACCGGAAGGUGCGGCUGGAUCACCUCCUUUCUA